UACAGAGGGUGCGAGCGUUGUCCGGAAUCACUGGGCGUAAAGGGCGCGUAGGUGGCGGGAUAAGUGAGUGGUGAAAGCUCGGGGCUCAACCCCGAGUCUGCCAUGCAAACUGUCUUGCUCGAGCGUAGUAGAGGCAGGUGGAAUUCCGGGUGUAGCGGUGGAAUGCGUAGAGAUCCGGAAGAACACCGGUGGCGAAGGCGGCCUGCUGGGCUACUGCUGACACUGAUGCGCGACAGCGUGGGGAGCAAACAGG
This 253-nucleotide ribosomal RNA is filed under the name uncultured prokaryote. Its description in RNAcentral is "partial 16S ribosomal RNA". It matches the Rfam family "Bacterial small subunit ribosomal RNA", at positions 524 to 776 of the family's 1533-position model. The record is from RNAcentral.